RNAcentral lists this ribosomal RNA (479 nucleotides) under uncultured bacterium. Its description in RNAcentral is "partial 16S ribosomal RNA". It matches the Rfam family "Bacterial small subunit ribosomal RNA", at positions 28 to 507 of the family's 1533-position model. The record is from RNAcentral.
GAUGAACGCUAGCGGGAGGCCUAACACAUGCAAGCCGAGCGGUAGAGUUUCUUCGGAAACUUGAGAGCGGCGCACGGGUGCGUAACACGUGUGCAACCUACCUUUAUCUGGGGGAUAGCCUUUCGAAAGGAAGAUUAAUACCCCAUAAUAUAAUGAUUGGCAUCAAUUAUUAUUGAAAACUCCGGUGGAUAGAGAUGGGCACGCGCAAGAUUAGAUAGUUGGUGAGGUAACGGCUCACCAAGUCAAUGAUCUCUAGGGGUCCUGAGAGGGAGAUCCCCCACACUGGUACUGAGACACGGACCAGACUCCUACGGGAGGCAGCAGUGAGGAAUAGUGGACAAUGGGUGAGAGCCUGAUCCAGCCAUCCCGCGUGAAGGAUGACGGUCCUAUGGAUUGUAAACUUCUUUUGUACAGGGAUAAACCUACCCUCGUGAGGGUAGCUGAAGGUACUGUACGAAUAAGCACCGGCUAACUCCGUG